AAGAGUAUAGCUUAAUUGGUAAAGCCCGUGUCUUCAACACAUGUGUUAGUAGUUCAAGUCUACUUGCUCUUG
This 72-nucleotide transfer RNA is filed under the name Millerozyma farinosa. Its description in RNAcentral is "transfer RNA-Trp". It matches the Rfam family "tRNA". Rfam says of the family: Transfer RNA (tRNA) molecules are approximately 80 nucleotides in length. The record is from RNAcentral. Lineage: Eukaryota; Fungi; Ascomycota; Pichiomycetes; Serinales; Debaryomycetaceae.